Molecule: ribosomal RNA, 253 nt
Filed under: uncultured bacterium
Lineage: Bacteria
Description: partial 16S ribosomal RNA
Rfam family: Bacterial small subunit ribosomal RNA
Source: RNAcentral
GACAGAGGGUGCAAACGUUGUUCGGAAUUACUGGGCGUAAAGCGCGUGUAGGCGGCUAAGUAAGUCGGGCGUGAAAUCCCACGGCUCAACCGUGGAAGUGCACUCGAAACUGCAUAGCUAGAGUCCUGGAGAGGAAGGUGGAAUGCUUGGUGUAGAGGUGAAAUUCGUAGAUAUCAAGUGGAACACCGGUGGCGAAGGCGGCCUUCUGGACAGUGACUGACGCUGAGACGCGAAAGCGUGGGGAGCAAACAGG